This 2808-nucleotide long non-coding RNA is filed under the name Homo sapiens (human). RNAcentral's name for it is "non-protein coding lnc-SNPH-5:1". Lineage: Eukaryota; Metazoa; Chordata; Mammalia; Primates; Hominidae. The record is from RNAcentral.
UCUGUUUGCUUUCGCCUACCCAUCUGCUUGAUUGAGCCUGCUCCUUGGGAGCUCCUUCCACAUGGCUUCCUGCAUGGCCUGCCCUACUUCUGUCUCUAGGAACUGUGAGUAUGCCUCUUCAUAUGAACUUUUCAUGGCCAUGUUAGAGUGAUCCUCUAAGAUUCAACCAGCAGGAGUCACUCUAACAUUUUCUAUAGUAAUGGCAAUGAGGAUGGGAUCAUUCUAACCCAAAGCACAGGCAACAAAAGCAGAAAUAAAUAAAUGGCACUACAACAAACUAAAAAGUUUCUACACAGCCAAGGAAACAAUCAACAGAGUGAAGAGACAGCCUACAAAAUGGGAGAAGAUAUUUUCAAACCAUACAUCUGAUGCUCUACUAAAAAUACAAAAUUAGCCAGGUGUGGUGGCGAGUGCCUGUAAUCCCAGCUACUCGGGGGCUGAGGCAGGAGAGUCACUUGAACCCGGGAGGUGGAGGUUGCAGUGAGCUGAGAUUGCGCCAUUGCACUCCAGCCUGGGCAACAAGAGCGAAACUCCGUCUCAAAAAAACAAACAAACAAACAAAAAAUUAUUUUAACUGAUGCAAUAGUGUCAGGAAGAUGGCAGGAUCCGUGCUUGGAGCAGCAAGUUGCCUUCCCAAGGAAGGAACUGUCAAGGAGUUCUCAAGGAACUCCAAUCCUUCAAUGAAGAUAUGCUAGAUGCAUAGAUGCUUAUUCAAGUAAAAAAUUUUUGUAGAAAUCACGUGCAGAAUUCAUUUUCAACUUUAGAUUGACUUGGUGCAACAUGGAUAAAAUUGGAAUAUUUGAAAGAACGGGGAGCCUGGAAGUCCAUGAGCUAAAACUCCCCCCUUCAUCUACCAUAUUUCGCCCCCACUCACGACAUUAGAUGCAGAUGACGAGGGAAGACUUUGGGACACAUGAGGAACUGGGAGCCCAUGGAUGCCUCUCCAGAAGACUAAAGAUUAGGCCUGUGGGCUUAGGAUUAAAACUUCCUAGUCUGAAAUCAAGCUCUACCAGCUCCCAAGUGUGUGACCCUGGGGACACUAUUAACUUCUCUGUUUCUUGAGUUUCCUCAACUGUAAAAUGGACAUAAUAAUCACACCAACCUCAUAAGAUUGUUAUGGGAAUUAAAUGAACUGAUAUAUGCAAAGUGCCUAAUAGUAUCUGACUGUAUCCUCAAACCUAGAUAUUCAGUUUUACUAUUAUUAUUAUACAUAUUAGCUAGACAUUAUUGUUGUUAGGUAGAAUUUUAGUAAUAGCAACAAUUUUAAAAAACAGAUCCUCUGCCCUCAAGGAUUUAUGAUGUUAUGUGACAACCUCGGCCAAUGUCUGGGGGAGGUGGGGGUACCAUGGUGAUGAGCUGAGGUCAUGUGCUUAGCCCUAGAAUCAUGGGUGCUGAGAUCAUGUGCUCAGCACCAAGGUCAUGGUGCAGCCAUGGCCUCUGGGGAGAAUCACUAUGACUAGGGCAAGGUGCAUCCUAAUUAGGGUCUACACAGAUGCUCAUAGAAAAAGUGCUCCAAAUCUUGCCUCAUGCUGGGAUAGGAGACAAGAAAAUGCUCCCAAGUGGAAAUCCAGAGGAACAGGAGAGAUGGACUGAGAGGGAGAGGAGACAUCACAUAGAAAUACACCUGUAUAGAGCAGGCUGCACACAACUGUGAGUCCUAUGAGCAGAGAAGGUGGCAGGGCCUGUCCAGGUGAGCUGGGACACAGGGCUGGGGAUAUCUGUCUGAAUGACUCUCAUGAAGAGACCUCAGACUCUAUGCUCUGCAGGGGAGGAGAAGCCCCACCUUGCCAUGAUGUCCCAGGAGGGAAGUUGCUGUGGGAGGAAGGGGCCAUGAGACUGGGGCCAUCUUCCAUUGUGAAAGAGGAAGUGGACACAGUUGCCACUGCUAGGAAGUUGCUGACGUCUGUGCUUGGGGUUCCCAGACCUGGGAGCCUUGGACAGUACUGGAGAGAGGUUGACUGACAUAGAGCCUGCUCUAUGUCCCAGAGACUCUUACCUCAUGCCAGGGGUCCCAUGACCCUUCCUAAUUUGAGAGUUCAGACCUAUAGGGUUCUGUAGCCAAGGAUUGAGCUUGCAGCUUCAGAGACCAUAAUUCCAGGUGUGGCACAUUUGAGGGCUUGUGGCUACAGAAGCCUUUGGGGGUGGAACCAAAUCUCCUGGGUGACCCCUACAAGAAGUCUCUCAAACCAACACCAACUAACAAGCUGAGCAAAUCAAAAAACAACAACUGCUCUUAGAUCUGUCGGAGAAAUGAGGUCAUAGGGCAAAAUUAGAGAGACAGCAGGGUGAUAUGGAGAAUUACAACUUCCUGAAUUAGAAACCUCCAUGGGAAAGAGUGCUGGGGUCAGAAAACCUGCACCAUGAAUGGUGAAUUGCUAUAAGUUCAGUGAGGACCAGUCUGAGCUAAAAACUCAGGAGGACCCAGUCAUGGGAACUCCCACACUUCUGUGAAUUUUACCUACAGCAGCUUGAUUGGUCCUCAUAGUGGGUAUGAGAGAAAUAUUCAGUAGUGCUUCCUGAAGAGGAAGGAGAAAGGGGACCAUUUCAAAUUAUACCAGAGUGUUCUCAUCAUCUUAUGCUUGUUCCAUAUCAGAAAUAUACAAGAAGACAAGCACUGUUCCAACUAUCCUUGCUAUGUUUUACAAAGAAAUAAUAAUUUAAUCCUCAAUGUUUCUAAUCCUUUGAAUUACCAUAAACUAAAUAUUUUUCCCUUCUGUCCACAUUUGCAACUGAUAAUAUUAUAUUUUCUAAUAUUUUGACAAAAAUUAUGAGGACCACAGAGUAGUCAUUAUAUUCCCCUUUGGAUGU